CGUAGGUGGCAAGCGUUGUCCGGAAUUAUUGGGCGUAAAGCGCGCGCAGGCGGUUCCUUAAGUCUGAUGUGAAAGCCCCCGGCUCAACCGGGGAAGGUCAUUGGAAACUGGGGAACUUGAGUGCAGAAGAGAAGAGCGGAAUUCCACGUGUAGCGGUGAAAUGCGUAGAGAUGUGGAGGAACACCAGUGGCGAAGGCGGCUCUUUGGUCUGUAACUGACGCUGAGGCGCGAAAGCGUGGGGAGCAAACAGGAUUAGAUACCCUGGUAGUCCACGCCGUAAACGAUGAGUGCUAAGUGUUAGAGGGGUUUCCGCCCUUUAGUGCUGCAGCUAACGCAUUAAGUAUCCCACCUGGGGGAGUACGGCCGCAAGGCUG
Molecule: ribosomal RNA, 374 nt
Filed under: uncultured organism
Description: bacterial SSU rRNA
Rfam family: Bacterial small subunit ribosomal RNA
Source: RNAcentral